GGACCCGCACAAGCGGUGGAGCAUGUGGUUUAAUUCGAUGCAACGCGAAAAAACCUUACCUACUCUUGACAUACUUGGAAGCUCUUGUAAUGAGAGUGUGCCUUUUGGAACCAAGAUACAGGUGCUGCAUGGCUGUCGUCAGCUCGUGUCGUGAGAUGUUCCGUUAAGUCGGAUAACGAGCGCAACCCUUACCCUUAUUUGCCAGCGAUUCGGUCGGGAACUAUAAGGGGACUGCCGGUGAUAAAACCGGAGGAAAGGUGAGGACGACGUCAAGUAUCAUGGCCCUUACGAGUAGGGCUACACACGUGCUACAAUGGCCGGUACAGAGAGCAGCCACUACGCGAGUAG
This 348-nucleotide ribosomal RNA is filed under the name uncultured bacterium. RNAcentral describes it as "bacterial SSU rRNA". It matches the Rfam family "Bacterial small subunit ribosomal RNA", at positions 917 to 1264 of the family's 1533-position model. The record is from RNAcentral.